GGGCCCGCACAAGCGGUGGAGUAUGUGGUUUAAUUCGAUGCAACGCGAAGAACCUUACCAGGGUUUGACAUCCUGCGAAUCUCUUGGAAACAGGAGAGUGCCUUCGGGAACGCAGUGACAGGUGGUGCAUGGCUGUCGUCAGCUCGUGUCGUGAGAUGUUGGGUUAAGUCCCGCAACGAGCGCAACCCACGUCUUUAGUUGCCAGCAUUCAGUUGGGCACUCUAGCGGGACUGCCGACCGUUAAGUCGGAGGAAGGUGGGGAUGACGUCAAGUCCUCAUGGCCCUUAUGUCCAGGGCUACACACGUGCUACAAUGGUCACCACAAUGGGUCGCGAACCCGCGAGGGGGAGCUAAUCUCAAAAAGUGGCCUCAGUACGGAUAGGAGUCUGCAACUCGACUCCUUGAAGUCGGAAUCGCUAGUAAUCGC
RNAcentral lists this ribosomal RNA (427 nucleotides) under uncultured bacterium. RNAcentral's name for it is "bacterial SSU rRNA". It matches the Rfam family "Bacterial small subunit ribosomal RNA", at positions 917 to 1345 of the family's 1533-position model. The record is from RNAcentral.